Molecule: long non-coding RNA, 6362 nt
Organism: Haemorhous mexicanus (house finch)
Lineage: Eukaryota; Metazoa; Chordata; Aves; Passeriformes; Fringillidae
Exons: 4
Source: RefSeq, a predicted model, not a curated record
CUAUUCCAUUGUGUCCCAUUGUGUGUGAGUUCUCUGUUCAACUAGGAAGUUUAUUCUACAAGUGCUGGGGGAAAUAAUAGGAUUUUAAAGAAGCUGUCCUUAGUAGAUUCCUUUCCUGAGAAAACAUGAAAACAUCUAUGCCUUGGUAGCUGCCUCAGGAAGAUGGAUGGGUACUUAUGGUCUCUGCUAUUAUCUUGGUAACUUUUAAGACUGGGAAAAGCUCCCAAACGAGAACUGUGUGGAUCACAGCUUUUGAGAAUUGAAACAGGUGGACAUCUGGGACAAAACGAAGUGUGCCACGAACUUCUGCUGAUCAGAACACUGCGCUGAAGUAGGCACAGGAGUGAAGCAAUAUGAAAGAACCGGCUGAGUGAAUGCUGCUAUCCCGGCUGGAAGGAGUCUGGAAAACAUCCUAAAGGCCAGAAUUUGGAACCAGACACUAAACCUUUACGCGGAGUAUGAAAUUGCAGCUGCCCCAAGCUCACCCAUGGCUGACGGGCACCCCCUGGCCUGGCUCCGAGCCCGGUGCCCCGGGGGAUGCUCCGUGGAGCUGCUAGCCGGAGCCUGUCCCGGAGCUGCGGGAGAAGCGCCGCCGGUGCGCUGAGCUGCCAUCAUGUCUUUAGACUGCCUUUUGUGUGUCCUUUUCUAAUCUCCUCUUCCUCCUAAGCCGCUGGGUAACGCUCCGGCGAACUGCGGGCAAUAGGGCCGCAGGGCUGUGGAACCGCCGCGGGCUCUGCCUCGGGCCUCACCCCUCGUGGCGGGCAGCCCCCAGCCGAGGUGGGGACCCCUGGCCCCGCUCCCAAGCGGGCCACAGCCCGGCCCUGCCCCGCCGCUCGGCCCGUACUCACCCGCCGCGCCAGGCGCUACCGGCGGGGCCGCUCGCCCGCCGCGCCGCCGGGGCCGGGGCCGCCAUCUCGGUCACUGGCAGGCGGAACGCCCCAGCGCCGGGGGCCCGCGGGAGAGCUUCGAGGCCGCCUCAAGAAGCCGCUGUCUGGUUGGUGCGAGCCCGCGCGGCCGCCGGCACGCCGCGCGCUGGUUGGCUGGGCCGGGGUGGCGCGCGAAGCCAGGCUCCCGCCCCGGCGGCAGGUCGGGGCUGGCCGUGAGGAGAGGUUGAGGGGAAAGGGCGGAGCGGAGACUCAGGGCGAGGGUGACCCCAAGGCUCCUGGGAAGACGUCUUGGGAACGAGAACCAGCAGACUCGGGAGCCAUGAGGUGAAGGCGGACGCAGGGUGCCAGGUGCACAGGAAACCAUGGCGGGAUGAGCAGACAAACCUAGCCAGCCGGAGUGGGUGACAAAGGGAAGCUCAAGGCAAAAGCUGUGAAGCACUCAAGAGGCACUAAGUUGCUGUGAUUUUUGGACCUGAGAACUUUGCUGUAAAGACCUGGUCUACAGGACAGUGCUCAAGUCAUCAUCCUCUCUAUUGUUUAAUAUUGCAGAAUUGUGAAUGAAUGGCAAACAAGGUAAUAUUCGUUCUGGAUGUUUAUAGCAAUGUAGUAUUUUCGUCUGGAGAAAACCACAAAUCGGUCAAUUUUGCCUGCAAAUUAAGAUAAUUUCCCAUACUUGCUUCUAAAUAGCUUUUAAACUAUUCCUUGAGUGGUUUUUUCCUCCACACGCUUAUAUUUCUUGGAGUUGUUACACCAUGUAAAGGCCUCCUAUAUCAUUUUGGUGGGAAGUGAGCUCAUAGAAAUGAAAUAAUUCAAACCUAUGUGGGUAGUCUUCAAAAGCUUCAUUUCAUGCUCCCCAUGUCUGAGUGCAGGGAUCUGCUGGCUCCUCCUGGGGCCACAGCAUAUGGGCAGAGCUAGGGCUCAGCUUGCCAUCAGCUUCCGCCUGGAGCAGCUUGUGGAGCCCGGCACAUCCACGGGAACUAUUUGACCUCUCUGCAUGUGCCUUUCAGUCAGUCCUCACCAGGGUGGCUGCUGCGGGUAGAGCAGACAUGAGAAUUUCACUAGGACCACUUUAAAGCAGGUAUUGUAUGCAAAAAACCCCAAACCUUCCUUUGUCUUUUUUUUUUCUCUGACAAAGUGUUGAAGUUGCAUUUUAAUCAGUACUUGAUGAGUAGAGUUUCUGAACAGUUGUGCAAAAUAAUUUAAAUAUAAUUAAAUCAGUGAGAAUAUUUUGUAUUGUUUAGAACAGGCAGUGGCUGUUUGUCUGAUUCCCCCCCUUGCAUAUUUCAUGACAGAUGCUAAGAAAUUACUAUAAUUAUAAUGUGCAUAGUGGAAAAAGGAAUUGAAAGGGGAAGAUUGAUACAAAAACUGAGCCUUAAAAAUUAAAAGGAGUAGUUGAGUUGACCACCACCUUUACCCAAGCUGAAGGGAAGACAGUAUUUCAUUUUAGCUGAAUUACAUUACUUCCCAGCUCCUGUGUAUUGCUUAAUAAAUAAGGGACUUACUUGUAGUUCAGUGUCUAAUUAUAAAAUAUAAGUGAGAUAAGAUAUUUCACAAAAGAAAGCAAUUCUGCCUUUUCAUAAUAAGCAGCAUCUGCUUUUUUUUUCUCCAUACUGAGAGGCAGUUGAACUGACAAUUCCAGGCUGUCCUGAAAAUGACAGAUGACUGUAUUGGGAGUAGGAAGAAAGCAGAAUUCCUUUUGUACUAAAGAAAGGGGGAUGGCACACUAUAGUUGGCUCUGAUUCUCUUUUACAGGUCUCUUUCAGAGCUUAAGCAUUUAUGGGUGACCCUGGCCAACUGAUUUUAUUGUUUAAUUUCUUAGUGACAGCUAUUGCAGGUCCCAGGUGGAACAGCCUUUCCUACACAGUCUGUUUUAUAUAUCUUGUCAUUUCUUCUUUGUGACCACAGAAACACAGGUGGUAUGGAAAGAAAUCUGCUUGAAUGUAAGACUCAUGGAUGGUUUUGGUUUGGACCUUUUUUCUGCUAGUUUUGAGCUUGUUUUCUCUUUUCCUGGUCUAUAAAAGAACAGCCCCUGUUUAAUCACAUGGUGAUUAAACUGCUUCACAAGUGCUAUUGAGAUCUGUAAUGAGUAAAAUUGUGAAGCUGUUCUGGCAGAUCAGCUGUUCUGUCUGGGUCACAAGCAGCAACACUUAUUGAUUGCACUUGGGCAGAUUUACAGAGACAGACAGUUGUGAUAACAGUUCAGGGUGUGUGUGAGAAGUCAGGGCAGAGCAUGAGGAGAGUUUCAGCUGGCUCAGUAGUUAAAAACUGCCAAUUCUGUUCCUAAUGCUGCUGAACACUGGUGUUAGUUUAUUGUAUGGCUUUGGGCAAGCCCUCUAUGCCUCUGUUUCCUGUUUGCAGAAUAUGGAUAUCUAUAUAUUUAUAUGUGUACACAUCUAUGAUCUGUUAUCAUACAUCUAUUCCAUCCCUUUGAUAUUGUUGACUUUAGCACUAACCUAAAGCUGCAAAUCAAAAUGAGACCAACUCACCAAUAUAUAGCAAAGUAGUUACCCAAUUCAUUCAUUAUCCUGCUCUCUGAAGAACAGACACAGAAAACACAUUUUCACAGGGUUUUUUCCUUAGCUUUACUGUCUGAUUCCCUAAUUAGUCCUCUCACACAGUGUUCCAAAUAUGGGCAUGUGGGGAAAUCCUAUAGACCAGAAACCUAAAUCUUGAAUUAAGGUUUUAGAGAAACUCUAGUAAUAGCAGUUAAGUCUUGUAGACUCCCCUCCUUGGUGUCCAUUUUAAUAUAAGCUGACCAAAAAAAAAAAAAAGUGAAUUUGUUGCCAGGUCUGUCUGUAUGUGGUACCCGCAGUUAGUUUUGUUUCAGUCUGUGGUCUGACUUUAGACUAGAACCUCGGUGUUAGGUUUUCCUCAAGGUAUUCAGCAUCUUCCUAGAGCAGUUCAUAUUUGUUGCUCUUUGGUUGCAUCAGGCAUGUUUGAAGCAAAUUUGUGCCAAGACAGACCCAAAUAUGUAGUAAAUUGAAUAGUUUUGGAUUUUAUGGCUAAUAUCCCUUGUUUGAUUAUUACACUGAGGCUAACAUAGGUUGAAGGAAGAAGGCAAGAAGGUAAUAUUAAUGCACUAAAUCUCCACAGCCCCAUUCCCAGCAUUCCCCAUUCCCUCUAUGCUGUGCCUACAUUCCUGUCAUUCCCCCCUGUGCCGCACCCACUGUAUCCCUGCACAUCUCAGACAGAGGUGUAUAUCCAGGCAGUCCCCCCCCACCCCAAGCUGUCAGAACAGUCUCGUGGCAGUAAAUUUUCAACUGGGAAGAAAAUUGAUCAGGGCCUGUCUACAUCUAUUCCACAUUCCCUGUGGCAGAAUGUCUGAUUUUCCAUGGGAACAAGCUUUGUGUCCUGCUUCAUAAAUCGGGCUGCUUACAUCCAACUUUUACACAGCACACAGAGUGUUACCCUAUACAAACUGCAGCACUACAGUGCAGAAUCACAGUGUGAAAUUUGGAGCAUCUUCAGAUGUGCUGAGCUAGUCAAUGGUUGCUUUUUUAUAAAAACACUACAAUUCUUUGAAAGCAGGAAAUGCGUCAGAGGAAGAAAGGUGCAUGUUAUAAAUGUAUUUCAUUACAAUUAUUGUGCCAGAUGCCUUAAAAAAAAAACAUUGCAACAAACACAAAGUUCCUUAAAUUGUCAAGUGUAUUGUAGUUCAUGAUGAUGACAGAUCCUCGUGUUUGAGGAGAACAGCCUUAGGAACAUGGCAUUAAUACAACUAUUCCAAGCAGCAAUUUUAAACCUUUAGUGGCUGCUUGACCCAUUUUAACAAAUAUUCCUCUGAUCUAUUGAUAGCAAAACCUAUACAUUUAUUUCCCCAGACGGCUCUGAGAAGUUUAAAAAGGUACCCAGAAGAAAUGUCAGACACAAGGAUUUUUCUUACCUUCUUAAAGCACUCAGAGCUAAUCUUGGAUUAUAUUUUAUCAUUAUCAAAUGUCAUAGAAAAUUCAAGCUAUUCCUAGACUGAAAAAAAAAAAUUGAAAUGGAACCUUUAGCAAAACAAUGUCUCUGUUGCGUUUUUCAUCCUUGCUCACAGCUAUGUCAGGAUUUUGGCUUUUGCUGUAGCAAAGCUGCACAGUAUUGCACAAUAAGUUGUGUGUUUCUAUAAAGUAUUAACUUGUUUGCAAGCUGGGGGAACAUUCUACAUGGAUCUGUUUGCAAGCAAGUACAUCUCAGCAAUUCCUCAGUCAGGAAUAUCUUUCUGUAACGUUCUAAUCUCUGCUAUUUCUGAAAUUUGUUGCUUCUUUGAUUUUCUAGGACUGCCCUUUUACAGUCAGGCAGCUGCAGCCCCAUAAAGUAGCUGUCAUUCAACUGGCAGCUGUUGGCCAUAGCUGACUUUUCAAGUCCAGCUAAAAGUAGCUCCUAUAACUUCUUUGAGAUGUUAUUUGACUUACAGAAACUUACUAUGAACUUCUAAAUCCCCAUCUUGAGGGCAUAUGUGAAACAUGAGAUUCUGUAGGACUGUUCUAGGAACAACGACUGGGAACUUGAGCGAUCUUGGAAUCCAGCUCUGAUUUCAUCAGUAUUGGUGUCACUUCUAAAAGAAUAAUUUCUGCAUUCCCAGAAAGAAUGUCUGAAACAUUUGUAACAUCUCAACUCCUAAAGCUCCUUUUCUCCACCCUUUCCAAUGUUUUGAAUGAAGUAUGAACUCACAUCUUCCCCCAAAACCUGGGAAUAAGUUAAAACCCCUUAAAGACAAUGUUGUGGGGAUGAGAAAAUGAACUUGCCAAGGGUUUAAAGCUCAAAUUUAAUCCAGUCUUUAUCAAGCUGCUUAAGCGUUUAUAAUGAGAAUGUUAGGAGGCAACGUUUGCAGAACACUAUUUAUAAGCUGGAUUGUUUGAGAUUGUGGUAAAUAUUCUAAUGGUACUCUGGUUUUGGUAUAGAUGUAACCAUAACUGCCCUGGCAGACUCCAGCUGAGGAGAGCAACCAGUGUCAUGGUUUAUUUUUUAAAAAAGGGUUUAAUUGGAGGAUGAAAAUGUGCAUCUCUGUCAUACAACAAAAUAUCUGUUACCUGUGCCUAAAUUGUAGACUUUGGUCCACAACAAUCCUAAAUUUACAUGAGCCCAGCUGUGGGCCCUGCAGUUGAUGUCUAGACACUGUGGCUGUGCCCACUUUGAGUGCCCACUUCCAGUCUUGGCAUCUUUUUGGAGGUGGGGGAAGGAUAAAAGUAACCCUGUCGUAACUCAUUCCUUCAGGUGAUGGGAGUACAGUGCUAGAAAGGCUUUUCAUAUUCAGAAACCACCUUUCCUUUCUAAAGCCAGAGGAAAGCUUUUUAUUUAUGCCUUUAUCAAAGGACUUAGGCCUGACAUUUACCUGAGUAACUGCUUUACUCUAUAAUUAAAAGUAUUUUCAAGCUGUAAGAAUGUCAGGAGGGUCAUCCAUGCAAACUGUGACAUUAGUUGCCCGUGCAAUCUGAAUUUUGGCCUCUGCAGAUGCUGUAAUUGCCAUGUGUGAUUAAACUACUUGUUCUUACA